This 1143-nucleotide ribosomal RNA is filed under the name Lasiacantha sp. 28 STC-2019. RNAcentral's name for it is "partial large subunit ribosomal RNA". It matches the Rfam family "Eukaryotic large subunit ribosomal RNA", at positions 386 to 1148 of the family's 3401-position model. Lineage: Eukaryota; Metazoa; Arthropoda; Insecta; Hemiptera; Tingidae. The record is from RNAcentral.
GGUAACGGAAAAGACCCGAAAUUCCGAAAAGGGAGAUUCACGUCUGCUCGCGCCUCUGCUCGGCACCUGUCGCGUUUGGACGGCCAUUUGUGCCCCCGUUUGUGCGCAAGCUCAAGCGGUCGGGUCUGGUUGCCGGCGCGCGGGUUGUCCGAGCCGCGGCGGACCGCACUUCUCCCUUAGUAGGACGUCGCGACCCGCCCGUCCGUGGCCUAAGGCUGGGCAAGACGCCUGACGCUCGCCGUUGGCUUUCAGCCAGCGACUGUGCGUCAGACUGCCCGUGCUUCCCGGCCACGGUUUUUCUACGGACGGUAUCGAAUACCGGUGUCGAGUCGCUUCUUCGCGAGGGGGAGAUAAAACACCCUCUCGUACGGAAGCGCCCUAGGCAGAGGGCAAGGUUUUUCCGAGUCUCUAAAAACGUAAGUUUUGAAGUCAAGACGUUUGUUUUCUGUUCGUCUGGCGGAGCUCGGGCCUGUUGGUUCUCUUGGUCUUUGGGCAGGCUCAUUCCCAUUGCGCGGAGAAAGGCACCAGUCAGCGGCGAUCUAGUUUUGGGCUCUUUUCCGACCCGUCUUGAAACACGGACCAAGGAGUUUAGCGUGCUCGCGAGUCAUUGGGCGUUACAAAACCUAAAGGCGAAAUGAAAGUAAAGAGAGUCCCUUUUUCUCGUGGCUCUCGAGGGAGGAUGAGCUACUGCUCUGGUCGUUCCUAACCGGCGGCUGAGCGUGUCUCCGCACUCCCGGGGCGACUCUUUCUCAUUGCGAGUGGAGGCGCACCAAGAGCGAGUACGCUGAAACCCGAAAGAUGGUGAACUAUGCCUGGCCAGGACGAAGCCAGGGGAAACCCUGGUGGAGGUCCGCAGCGAUUCUGACGUGCAAAUCGAUCGUCGGAGCUGGGUAUAGGGGCGAAAGACCAAUCGAACCAUCUAGUAGCUGGUUCCCUCUGAAGUUUCCCUCAGGAUAGCUUGCGCUCGGGUGUGAAGAGUCUCAUCCGGUAGAGCGAAUGAUUAGAGGCCUUGGGGUCGAAACGACCUCAACCUAUUCUCAAACUCCAAAUAGAUGAGAACCCCGGCUUGCUUGAAUUUUCCAUGUGUGUUGAAGCCGCGGGACUCGGAUCAGAGUGCCAAGUGGGCCAAUUUUGGUAAGCAGA